Molecule: ribosomal RNA, 1377 nt
Filed under: uncultured prokaryote
Description: partial 16S ribosomal RNA
Rfam family: Bacterial small subunit ribosomal RNA
Source: RNAcentral
CAUGCAAGUCGAACGCUCUUCGGAUUUAGUGUCGCACGGGUGCGGAACACGUGGGAACAUACCCUUUGGUAAGGAAUAAUAGCUGGAAACGGCUACUAAUACCUUAUAAUGACUUCGGUCCAAAGAUUUAUCGCCAAGGGAUUGGCCCGCGCUUGAUUAGAUAGUUGGUGAGGUAAUGGCUCACCAAGUCUACGAUCAAUAGCUGGUCUGAGAGGACGACCAGCCACACUGGAACUGAGACACGGUCCAGACUCCUACGGGAGGCAGCAGUGAGGAAUAUUGCACAAUGGGGGAAACCCUGAUGCAGCCAUGCCGCGUGAGUGAAGAAGGCCUUAGGGUUGUAAAGCUCUUUCAAUAGUGAAGAUAAUGACGGUAGCUAUAGAAGAAGCUCCGGCUAAAUUCGUGCCAGCAGCCGCGGUAAUACGAAUGGAGCAAGCGUUGUUCGGAAUCACUGGGCUUAAAGCGUGCGCAGGCGGAAAAGAAAGUCAGAUGUGAAAUCCCAGGGCUCAACCCUGGAACUGCAUUUGAAACUUCUUUUCUAGAAUCCGGGAGGGGUCAGUAGAAUUACUAGUGUAGAGGUGAAAUUCGCAGAUAUUAGUAGGAAUACCAGUGGCGUAGGCGACUGACUGGACCGGUAUUGACGCUCAUGUACGAAGGCGUGGGGAGCAAACAGGAUUAGAUACCCUGGUAGUCCACGCAGUAAACGAUGUAUGCUAGCUGUUGGGGUCUUAGACUUCAGUGGCGGAGAGAAAUCAUUAAGCAUACCGCCUGGGGAGUACGGUCGCAAGACUAAAACUCAAAGGAAUUGACGGGGACCCGCACAAGCGGUGGAGCAUGUUGUUUAAUUCGAAGCAACGCGAAGAACCUGACCCACACUUAACUAUCCUCUUGGGGCUUUCAGAGAUGAUCGCUUUCGGUUCGGCCGGGGAGUGAAUAGGUGCUGCAUGGCUGUCGUCAGCUCGUGUCGUGAGAUGUUAGGUUAAGUCCUGCAACGAGCGCAACCCUUAUUGCUAGUUGCCAUCAUUUAGUUGGGCACUCUAGUGAGACUGCCGGUGAUAAGCCGGAGGAAGGCGGGGACGACGUCAAGUCAUCAUGGCCCUUACGUGUGGGGCUACAAACGUGCUACAAUGGUAACGACAAUGGGCAGCCACUUCGCAAGAAGGCGCUAAUCUCCAAACGUUAUCUCAGUUCGGAUUGUUCUCUGCAACUCGAGAGCAUGAAGUUGGAAUCGCUAGUAAUCGUGCAUCAGCAUGUCACGGUGAAUACGUUCCCGGGUCUUGUACACACCGCCCGUCACGUCAUGGGAGUUGGUUCUACCCGAAGGCCGCUGCGCUAACUACGGAGGCAGGCGACCACGGUAGGGUCAGCGACUGGCAC